Molecule: ribosomal RNA, 224 nt
Filed under: Heterolepisma sp. cooloola_GBS
Lineage: Eukaryota; Metazoa; Arthropoda; Insecta; Zygentoma; Lepismatidae
Description: partial 28S ribosomal RNA
Rfam family: Eukaryotic large subunit ribosomal RNA
Source: RNAcentral
CUUGACUCUAGUCUGGCACUGUAAGGAGACAUGAGAGGUGUAGCAUAAGUGGGAGAUCCGUCUCACGGGUCGGCAGUGAAAUACCACUACUUUCAUCGUUUCUUUACUUACUUGAUCAGGCUGGAAGCGUGCGCGGUUCCCUGUGUUCCGCUCACGGUAUUCUAGAACCAAGAUCGGGAGGCUCAGGUCUCCCGGUCGACCAGAUCCAAGGACACUGCCAGGCC